RNAcentral lists this unclassified non-coding RNA (256 nucleotides) under Hevea brasiliensis (rubber tree). The record is from RNAcentral. Lineage: Eukaryota; Viridiplantae; Streptophyta; Magnoliopsida; Malpighiales; Euphorbiaceae.
UAAGAAGCUCAGAGAGAUCCCAGCACACCUUAAAAUGGCAGCUUAACAACAGAAUACAAUGGAACAUAGCUUUCAAUAACAGGGACGACAGCGCCCCCCCUGAGCUUGAACUUGGGCUUUGCCAAAUUCAUCUCCAGUCUCCAAUAUAGGUAGGUUGCAGUGUCCCAGUAAAUGAGAACAAGGUCUUAAUGGCUCAAACUCCUCUAAUUGUUCAUGUCAUCAAAUGAUUGGAGUUCCAAUCCGCAGUAGUUCUGAG